UGGGGAAUAUUGCACAAUGGGCGCAAGCCUGAUGCAGCCAUGCCGCGUGUAUGAAGAAGGCCUUCGGGUUGUAAAGUACUUUCAGCGGGGAGGAAGGUGUUGUGGUUAAUAACCUCAGCAAUUGACGUUACCCGCAGAAGAAGCACCGGCUAACUCCGUGCCAUCAGCCGCGGUAAUACGGAGGGUGCAAGCGUUAAUCGGAAUUACUGGGCGUAAAGCGCACGCAGGCGGUCUGUCAAGUCGGAUGUGAAAUCCCCGGGCUCAACCUGGGAACUGCAUCCGAAACUGGCAGGCUUGAGUCUUGUAGAGGGGGGUAGAAUUCCAGGUGUAGCGGUGAAAUGCGUAGAGAUCUGGAGGAAUACCGGUGGCGAAGGCGGCCCCCUGGACAAAGACUGACGCUCAGGUGCGAAAGCGUGGGGAGCAAACA
RNAcentral lists this ribosomal RNA (427 nucleotides) under uncultured bacterium. RNAcentral's name for it is "partial 16S ribosomal RNA". It matches the Rfam family "Bacterial small subunit ribosomal RNA", at positions 355 to 774 of the family's 1533-position model. The record is from RNAcentral.